GAGGUUGUGGCUCAGUGGCAGAGCACUUGCCUAGCAUGUGUGAGGCACUGGGUUCAAUCCUCAGCACCACA
Molecule: transfer RNA, 71 nt
Filed under: Marmota monax (woodchuck)
Lineage: Eukaryota; Metazoa; Chordata; Mammalia; Rodentia; Sciuridae
Description: tRNA.Ala
Source: RNAcentral